GUGAGGAAUAUUGGUCAAUGGGCGGAAGCCUGAACCAGCCAAGUCGCGUGAGGGAAGACGGCCCUACGGGUUGUAAACCUCUUUUGCCGGGGAGCAACCGCCUCCACGCGUGGAGGUCCGAGAGUACCCGGAGAAAAAGCAUCGGCUAACUCCGUGCCAGCAGCCGCGGUAAUACGGAGGAUGCGAGCGUUAUCCGGAUUUAUUGGGUUUAAAGGGUGCGUAGGCGGACCGUCAAGUCAGCGGUAAAAUAGCGGGGCUCAACCCCGCCGAGCCGUUGAAACUGGGGGUCUAGAGUGGGCGAGAAGCGGGCGGAAUGCGCGGUGUAGCGGUGAAAUGCAUAGAUAUCGCGCAGAACUCCGAUUGCGAAGGCAGCUCGCCGGCGCCCAACUGACGCUGAGGCACGAAAGCGUGGGUAUCGAACAGGA
RNAcentral lists this ribosomal RNA (425 nucleotides) under uncultured bacterium. RNAcentral describes it as "bacterial SSU rRNA". It matches the Rfam family "Bacterial small subunit ribosomal RNA", at positions 354 to 777 of the family's 1533-position model. The record is from RNAcentral.